This is a long non-coding RNA of Carassius gibelio (silver crucian carp), 846 nucleotides long. RefSeq lists it as uncharacterized. The record is from RefSeq and is a predicted model, not a curated record. The transcript is spliced from 3 exons. Lineage: Eukaryota; Metazoa; Chordata; Actinopteri; Cypriniformes; Cyprinidae.
GGUACUUUAGUGUGUGCUAUUCACAGAGGAGGAGGUCCGUGUCCAACCGGAGUACGGCCGAUCUCGUACCGUGGGCUGUGCCUUCCAGGUUUGCGUGGAAAAGUUGCGGAGACGUUAAAUCACGCGUCAAAACGGGAUGUUUGUGGUGCAUAGCAGUAAAUGUCGAGAUGGUGCUGGAGCACGAUUACAACAGCCGUCCAGUCCCAGAUUCUGAACACAUCAGAAAUCACCAACCCCUCCUGACAUAUCUUUCCAGUUUGGGUUUUGCAUGGUCCCCAAUAAACUCAACAUGGGAUGCCUCUCCGAUUUCUUUCACAUCAGGGCACUUAACCUCUACCAGGCCACAGAGAGGUUCUUCAUUUGGGUCCACCACUUUGCCAUCUGCACCAAGGUGUGGAGCAUCAGGGUGGAUGAUGAGACCAGAUGGAAGAACGUUAAUGUCAAAGGUCUCCUCAUAGCGGUGAAGAACCUCUGGCUCAAGUUUUAAUCCUCUACACAUCACUCUCUAGAGACCCUGACAGAUGUUUACAAGCACUGUUUAAUGCAAGAUAUAAAUGCAUUUAACCUGCAAUUACAACUGCAUAAUGUUUUGAUGUUUUAAUCCCAAAAUGUUGAAUACUGAUAUUUGCAAUGAUAAAAGAAAGUGCUUUAAGAGGUGAAAUUAAAAACUCCAAUAUCUAGACAAUCAUGAAUUGUAACAUCACUUCCUUUAAUGUUUUUACUUUACAGUUGAUAUGAAAUUUGUUUAAAUGUUAAAUUUGUAAAAAAAAGUAUUACAUGUUUAAAUGAAAUGCUUAUACAAAAUAAAUACGUAGUUAACUUUAAAGUAUAUCUACAUUUCUUGCU